Molecule: ribosomal RNA, 510 nt
Filed under: uncultured bacterium
Lineage: Bacteria
Description: bacterial SSU rRNA
Rfam family: Bacterial small subunit ribosomal RNA
Source: RNAcentral
UAGUCCACGCCGUAAACGAUGAUUACUCGCUGUGUGUCCGUUAGGAUACGUGGCUGAGCGAAAGCAUUAAGUAAUCCACCUGGGAAGUACGUCGGCAACGAUGAAACUCAAAGGAAUUGACGGGGGCCCGCACAAGCGGAGGAACAUGUGGUUUAAUUCGAUGAUACGCGAGGAACCUUACCUGGGCUUAAAUGCAGAGCGACCGCCGCCGAAAGGUGGUUUUUCUUCGGAAUGGUUUGCAAGGUGCUGCAUGGCUGUCGUCAGCUCGUGCCGUGAGGUGUCGGGUUAAGUCCCAUAACGAGCGCAACCCCUAUCACUAGUUGCCAGCGGAUAACGCCGGGGACUCUAGUGAGACUGCCACCGUAAGGUGUGAGGAAGGUGGGGAUGACGUCAAGUCAGCACGGCCCUUACGUCCAGGGCUACACACGUGUUACAAUGGCCAAUACAAAGGGCAGCUACCUGGUGACAGGAUGCUAAUCUCAAAAAUUGGUACUCAGUUCGGAUCGAAGU